This 436-nucleotide ribosomal RNA is filed under the name Streptococcus uberis. RNAcentral describes it as "bacterial SSU rRNA". It matches the Rfam family "Bacterial small subunit ribosomal RNA", at positions 24 to 450 of the family's 1533-position model. The record is from RNAcentral. Lineage: Bacteria; Bacillati; Bacillota; Bacilli; Lactobacillales; Streptococcaceae.
UCAGGACGAACGCUGGCGGCGUGCCUAAUACAUGCAAGUAGAACGCUGAGGACUGGUGCUUGCACUGGUCUAAGGAGUUGCGAACGGGUGAGUAACGCGUAGGUAACCUACCUCAUAGCGGGGGAUAACUAUUGGAAACGAUAGCUAAUACCGCAUGACAAUAGGGUACACAUGUACCCUAUUUAAAAGGGGCAAAUGCUUCACUAUGAGAUGGACCUGCGUUGUAUUAGCUAGUUGGUAAGGUAACGGCUUACCAAGGCGACGAUACAUAGCCGACCUGAGAGGGUGAUCGGCCACACUGGGACUGAGACACGGCCCAGACUCCUACGGGAGGCAGCAGUAGGGAAUCUUCGGCAAUGGGGGGAACCCUGACCGAGCAACGCCGCGUGAGUGAAGAAGGUUUUCGGAUCGUAAAGCUCUGUUGUUAGAGAAGAAC